CACAGGUAUUGCCCUAAUCUUUAUGGUAGGAUCAUCAUUUUGUGGGUGACCAUAUAGAAGUUCCCUCAUAUAAAGGCUCAUCUGUAUCAGCCUCCAUCAAGUGACUCAUGUUAUGUACUUGUGAACCGAUCGCCCUGCACACAUAUACCUGCCGCACCUUUCAGAGGACUGCAUAUACCCAAUAUCUACCUACAAGAGGGAACAUAAUCCUUGGACCACCACCUACUUCUUAAAUAAAUUCUACCUGGGCCUCUCUAUCUAAGCACACCAGUGAACUAUCUUUACUUCUGGUUAUUGUAUCACAAAAGAAUCAUUAUUCAGUGAGAUAAGUAACAGGAGAAACUAUACUCCUUCCUCCUCUGCACUUGUCCCUGAAGAGUUGUGCCACUUUGAAAUGCGCCACAACGAAACGCAUUGGAUUUAUGUGGCUUAAAUUGUACUAACAUUGUAUGUAAUCACUGUACAAAAUAUAGAUGUGCUUACAAAUUCUAUACUCACUGAAUAUUUUGUGGAGGUUUUCUACAAACCAGCUAGUAAACUAUUCGUGGCUUGCUAUACACACUGCACCCGGUGCCUCCAUUCCCUCCAUAACCAGGGAGAGAUAGGAGGUUUCUGUUGCAGGUUGGCAUUCUCCAGGAAGGCCUCCCUACAGUAACAGGUAGGGGGUCCUAAGGGACUAGAAAAGCCAGUAUAGCCUAACCCUAGUAACAGUCCCAGU
Hyla sarda is the source of this 718-nucleotide long non-coding RNA. RefSeq lists it as uncharacterized. The record is from RefSeq and is a predicted model, not a curated record. The transcript is spliced from 3 exons. Lineage: Eukaryota; Metazoa; Chordata; Amphibia; Anura; Hylidae.